GACGAACGCUGGCGGCGUGCCUAAUACAUGCAAGUAGAACGCUGAAGGAGGAGCUUGCUUCUCUGGAUGAGUUGCGAACGGGUGAGCAACGCGUAGGUAACCUGCCUGGUAGCGGGGGAUAACUAUUGGAAACGAUAGCUAAUACCGCAUAAGAGUAGAUGUUGCAUGACAUUUGCUUAAAAGGUGUAAUUGCAUCACUACCAGAUGGACCUGCGUUGUAUUAGCUAGUUGGUGGGGUAACGGCUUACCAAGGCGACGAUACAUAGCCGACCUGAGAGGGUGAUCGGCCACACUGGGACUGAGACACGGCCCAGACUCCUACGGGAGGCAGCAGUAGGGAAUCUUCGGCAAUGGACGGAAGUCUGACCGAGCAACGCCGCGUGAGUGAAGAAGGUUUUCGGAUCGUAAAGCUCUGUUGUAAGAGAAGAACGAGUGUGAGAGUGGAAAGUUCACACUGUGACGGUAUCUUACCAGAAAGGGACGGCUAACUACGUG
This 495-nucleotide ribosomal RNA is filed under the name uncultured bacterium. RNAcentral's name for it is "partial 16S ribosomal RNA". It matches the Rfam family "Bacterial small subunit ribosomal RNA", at positions 28 to 507 of the family's 1533-position model. The record is from RNAcentral.